GAUGAACGCUGACAGAAUGCUUAACACAUGCAAGUCUUUGGCGAAGCUGUGCUUGCACAGCCUAGCCAAGGCGGACGGGUGAGUAACGCGUAAGGAACUUGCCCUGCAGUCAGGGAUAACAGACGGAAACGACUGAUAAGACCUGGUAAAGUCAGGCGGACUCAUGUCCAGCCUGAUGAAAAGAGAUGCUGCAGGAGAGCCUUGCGUCCUAUUAGCUUGUUGGUGGGGUAACGGCCCACCAAGGCGAUGAUAGGUAGCCGGCCUGAGAGGGUGGACGGCCACAAGGGGACUGAGAUACGGCCCUUACUCCUACGGGAGGCAGCAGUGGGGAAUAUUGGACAAUGGGGGCAACCCUGAUCCAGCAAUUCUGUGUGGACGAUGAAGGUUUUCGGAUUGUAAAGUGCUUUCAGCAGGGAAGAAAAAAAUGACGGUACCUGCAGAAGAAGCGACGGCUAAAUACGUG
RNAcentral lists this ribosomal RNA (463 nucleotides) under uncultured bacterium. RNAcentral describes it as "partial 16S ribosomal RNA". It matches the Rfam family "Bacterial small subunit ribosomal RNA", at positions 28 to 507 of the family's 1533-position model. The record is from RNAcentral.